Molecule: non-coding RNA, 83 nt
Organism: Lenzites betulinus
Lineage: Eukaryota; Fungi; Basidiomycota; Agaricomycetes; Polyporales; Polyporaceae
Source: the annotation of a GenBank genome assembly
GGCCUGGUGGUCUAGUAGUAUGAUUCCUUCUUAGGGCACUUGCAAUCUGGAGGAGGUCCCGGGUUCAAUUCCCGGCCAGGCCC